UACGUAGGUGGCAAGCGUUGUCCGGAUUUACUGGGCGUAAAGGAUGCGUAGGCGGAUAUUUAAGUGAGAUGUGAAAUACCCGGGCUCAACUUGGGUGCUGCAUUUCAAACUGGAUAUCUAGAGUGCAGGAGAGGAAAGUGGAAUUCCUAGUGUAGCGGUGAAAUGCGUAGAGAUUAGGAAGAACAUCAGUGGCGAAGGCGACUUUCUGGACUGUAACUGACGCUGAGGCAUGAAAGCGUGGGGAGCAAAC
This 250-nucleotide ribosomal RNA is filed under the name uncultured bacterium. RNAcentral describes it as "partial 16S ribosomal RNA". It matches the Rfam family "Bacterial small subunit ribosomal RNA", at positions 524 to 773 of the family's 1533-position model. The record is from RNAcentral.